GGAUGGAUCAGAGUCAGAUGUAUCGGAGAUAGGGUGGGGAGAUGAAGGAUCACGACCAAGGGCUCGUCCUCUACCCCGUCUGCCUCUGCCACGAGUGGAGGUGCCGGCACGAGUGGGCGGGCGAGAUGAUCCUGAAGGCUGAGAAGCAACAGACUGAACUGCAAGAGAGAGUCUGAUGGUGUCUAGAAGGUUCAGAGCUCUCGAAACAGACUGUAGCAGUGCAGUGAACUGGGUAGAUACA
This 241-nucleotide long non-coding RNA is filed under the name Elaeis guineensis (African oil palm). RNAcentral describes it as "long non-coding RNA (EGUI_LNC039063)". Lineage: Eukaryota; Viridiplantae; Streptophyta; Magnoliopsida; Arecales; Arecaceae. The record is from RNAcentral.